Molecule: ribosomal RNA, 484 nt
Filed under: uncultured bacterium
Lineage: Bacteria
Description: partial 16S ribosomal RNA
Rfam family: Bacterial small subunit ribosomal RNA
Source: RNAcentral
GAUGAACGCUGGCGGCGUGCUUAACACAUGCAAGUCGAACGGUGAAGCAGGAGCUUGCUCUUGUGGAUCAGUGGCGAACGGGUGAGUAACACGUGAGCAACCUGCCCCUGACUCUGGGAUAAGCGCUGGAAACGGCGUCUAAUACUGGAUAUGUGAUGUGACCGCAUGGUCUGCAUCUGGAAAGAAUUUCGGUUGGGGAUGGGCUCGCGGCUUAUCAGCUUGUUGGUGAGGUAAUGGCUCACCAAGGCGUCGACGGGUAGCCGGCCUGAGAGGGUGCACGGCCACACUGGGACUGAGACACGGCCCAGACUCCUACGGGAGGCAGCAGUGGGGAAUAUUGCACAAUGGGCGGAAGCCUGAUGCAGCAACGCCGCGUGAGGGAUGACGGCCUUCGGGUUGUAAACCUCUUUUAGCAGGGAAGAAGCGAAAGUGACGGUACCUGCAGAAAAAGCACCGGCUAACUACGUGCCAGCAGCCGCCGCCG